RNAcentral lists this ribosomal RNA (530 nucleotides) under Trigonopterus angulicollis. RNAcentral describes it as "partial large subunit ribosomal RNA". It matches the Rfam family "Bacterial large subunit ribosomal RNA", at positions 1838 to 2624 of the family's 2925-position model. Lineage: Eukaryota; Metazoa; Arthropoda; Insecta; Coleoptera; Curculionidae. The record is from RNAcentral.
UGAUAAUUUCAGGUCUGACCUGCCCACUGAUUGAAUUAAAUGGCCGCGGUAUAUUGACCGUGCAAAGGUAGCAUAAUCACUAGUUUUUUAAUUAAAAGCUUGUAUGAAGGGUUUGAUGAGGGAGUGACUGUCUCAAUUUAAAUUUAUUAAAAUUUUAUUUUUAAGUAAAAAAGCUUAAAUUGGUGUAGAAGACGAGAAGACCCUAUAGAGUUUUAUAAGUUGAGUGGUAUUUAAAUACUAGGAAUCCAUUUGUCUAAAUUCUGCUUUGUUUAUUUUGUUGGGGUGAUAGGAAAAUUAAAUUAACUUUUCUUGUUAAAUUUUAUAUUUAUUUGUAUAUUUAUGAUCCUAAAAUGUAGAUUAUAAGAUUAAAUUACCUUAGGGAUAACAGCGUAAUUUUUUUUAGAGUUCUUAUCGAAAAAACAGAUUGCGACCUCGAUGUUGGAUUAAAAUUUAUUAUUGGUGUAGAAGCUAAUUAAUUAGGUCUGUUCGACCUUUAGAAUUUUACAUGAUCUGAGUUUAAACCGGCGUGA